GUUUACUGUAGCAACCUCCAGACAGGCUUUCCUGCUCCUGCUCCUCCCCUCCAUGCGGCAGCCAGACCCUGUCCUUCUCUGCUCCUCUUGAAGAAAUACUUGAGGACCUUACAGGGGCUUCAGAACAUAUACCUUCUAUCACAAGUUGGGUGCACUGGGAAACAGACUCCGACAGAGACUUCGGCUUGCAGGAGGUUUACAGGGGAAGGCUCUCACAGUGGAGGAAGCAGAACCAGGCAGAGGGAACAGUUGAAUUGUGAUGUAGUCACAACAAAGGCCUCAGCUGACCCCAUGGGGAGCUGUGAGCUGGGGGGACUUUCAGAGUCGCUCUGCAUUAAGAUGGAAAAAAGAAGCUUGGAGAAGGGGAAAUGACUUUACCCAGCUAAGAAUAUGGCAAAGCUGAGCCAACUAGUCAAGUUUUCUGACCCCAAAUCCUGUAUUUCCCAUGACUCAUCUUGUGGAAGGCUGAGGCCUCAGUUUCUCUGUCAGCACCAGAUGGGGACUUCUUCAGCCUGACACUCCAUAACUCAAGGUUGCACCCACAUCUCCUACCUUUGGGGGAAGGAGAGAGGGAUUAUGGGACAGUGGCAUCAAUCUCCUUCCCAGGAUGGAUCCUCUGAGCUCUAUAUUUCUUGCCUAUAGUGACCAGGGAAUUUUCCUCUAUUGAUUGCUUUCUGUAAUCGAGCUUAACAAAUAGAACUUCCCUCAAAUGAUUCUUCCAACUAAACUGAUAGAAAGCUAACCUUGUUAUAUUUAUUGACAGAACAUUGAAAUAAAUAUUAUAGGUCUAGAGGGAAUGUUUCAGCUCAUUGAUUUUUUUAAGGAAAUAAUAAAUGGAGCCUAUUCCCUUUGGCAUAUUAUGCUGGGAAUAAUCUGAAAAAAUGCUUAGCUUGUUCAACACAGAGCUUAGAAACCCUCCUUCCACUCCCAGUGGAGCAGGGACCCUUUGCAUAAAUCUGCUUUGGCCCAGACAAUCAAUUUUCAAUUUUAAUUAUUUUCAAAACUCGUUUAUUAUUUGCUUGUUCUGUGAGUUUGGAGCUUUGCUUUUUAGUGAAUUUGUAGCCAGAGUGGUCAGAGCUCUGGCCUGGAUGGGGAACCUGUGGGAUUUCUUAGUUCUACCCACCAGAGAGGAAAACUCACUAUCCCUCUUUCCAGGGACAUUUGUUCUAGAACAGGGUCUGCAAACUAUGACCUCUGGACCAAAUCCA
RNAcentral lists this long non-coding RNA (1208 nucleotides) under Homo sapiens (human). RNAcentral describes it as "HSALNT0291489". Lineage: Eukaryota; Metazoa; Chordata; Mammalia; Primates; Hominidae. The record is from RNAcentral.